This 1343-nucleotide ribosomal RNA is filed under the name uncultured bacterium. RNAcentral describes it as "bacterial SSU rRNA". It matches the Rfam family "Bacterial small subunit ribosomal RNA", at positions 28 to 1381 of the family's 1533-position model. The record is from RNAcentral.
GAUGAAUUCUGGCGGCGUGCUUAACACAUGCAAGUCGAACGAUGAAGCCCAGCUUGCUGGGCGGAUUAGUGGCGAACGGGUGAGUAACACGUGAGUAACCCGCCCUUGACUCUGGGAUAAGCCCGGGAAACUGGGUCUAAUACCGGAUAGGAGCGCCUGUCGCAUGACGGGUGCUGGAAAGAUCUUUCGGUCAUGGAUGGACUCGCGGCCUAUCAGCUUGUUGGCGAGGUAAUGGCUCACCAAGGCGACGACGGGUAGCCGGCCUGAGAGGGUGACCGGCCACACUGGGACUGAGACACGGCCCAGACUCCUACGGGAGGCAGCAGUGGGGAAUAUUGCACAAUGGGCGGAAGCCUGAUGCAGCGACGCCGCGUGAGGGAUGACGGCCUUCGGGUUGUAAACCUCUUUCAGUAGGGAAGAAGCGAAAGUGACGGUACCUGCAGAAGAAGCACCGGCUAACUACGUGCCAGCAGCCGCGGUAAUACGUAGGGUGCGAGCGUUAUCCGGAAUUAUUGGGCGUAAAGAGCUCGUAGGCGGUUUGUCGCGUCUGUCGUGAAAGUCCGGGGCUUAACCCCGGAUCUGCGGUGGGUACGGGCAGACUAGAGUGCAGUAGGGGAGACUGGAAUUCCUGGUGUAGCGGUGGAAUGCGCAGAUAUCAGGAGGAACACCGAUGGCGAAGGCAGGUCUCUGGGCUGUAACUGACGCUGAGGAGCGAAAGCAUGGGGAGCGAACAGGAUUAGAUACCCUGGUAGUCCAUGCCGUAAACGUUGGGCACUAGGUGUGGGGACCAUUCCACGGUUUCCGCGCCGCAGCUAACGCAUUAAGUGCCCCGCCUGGGGAGUACGGCCGCAAGGCUAAAACUCAAAGGAAUUGACGGGGGCCCGCACAAGCGGCGGAGCAUGCGGAUUAAUUCGAUGCAACGCGAAGAACCUUACCAAGGCUUGACAUGUUUUCGAUCGCCGUGGAGACACGGUUUCCCCUUUGGGGCGGAUUCACAGGUGGUGCAUGGUUGUCGUCAGCUCGUGUCGUGAGAUGUUGGGUUAAGUCCCGCAACGAGCGCAACCCUCGUUCCAUGUUGCCAGCACGUUGUGGUGGGGACUCAUGGGAGACUGCCGGGGUCAACUCGGAGGAAGGUGAGGACGACGUCAAAUCAUCAUGCCCCUUAUGUCUUGGGCUUCACGCAUGCUACAAUGGCCGGUACAAUGGGUUGCGAUACUGUGAGGUGGAGCUAAUCCCAAAAAGCCGGUCUCAGUUCGGAUUGGGGUCUGCAACUCGACCCCAUGAAGUCGGAGUCGCUAGUAAUCGCAGAUCAGCAACGCUGCGGUGAAUACGUUCCCGGGCCU